AUCAGCUUGGCUUACCAUUGAAAUCCUUCCUGACCUUAAACACAAAAAAGAAGCUUACAAGUAGUGGAAGAUUGGACAAAUGACCAGGGAGGAGUAUAAAAAUAUUGUUUGGGCAUGCAGGAGUAAAAUCAUGAAGGCCAAAUCACACUUGGAGUUGCAGCUAGCAAGAGAUGUUAAGAGUAACAAGAAGGGAAAGUUGGACUAAAUGACU
Chelonoidis abingdonii (Abingdon island giant tortoise) is the source of this 211-nucleotide non-coding RNA. Lineage: Eukaryota; Metazoa; Chordata; Testudines; Testudinidae. The record is from RefSeq and is a predicted model, not a curated record.